GGGCCCGCACAAGCGGAGGAACAUGUGGUUUAAUUCGAUGAUACGCGAGGAACCUUACCCGGGCUCGAACGGUACAGGAAUUGCACAGAGAUGUGUAAGCUAGCAAUAGUCUGUAUCGAGGUGCUGCAUGGUUGUCGUCAGCUCGUGCCGUGAGGUGUCGGCUUAAGUGCCAUAACGAGCGCAACCCUUGUCGUUAGUUGCCAUCGAGUAAAGUCGGGAACUCUAACGAGACUGCCAGCGUAAGCUGUGAGGAAGGGGGGGAUGACGUCAAAUCAGCACGGCCCUUACGUCCGGGGCGACACACGUGUUACAAUGGGGGGUACAGAGGGGAGCUACCUGGUGACAGGAUGCGAAUCUCGAAAGCCUCUCUCAGUUCGGAUCGGAGUCUGCAACUCGACUCCGUGAAGUUGGAUUCGCUAGUAAUCGCGCAUCAGCCAUGGCG
This 442-nucleotide ribosomal RNA is filed under the name uncultured Bacteroidota bacterium. Its description in RNAcentral is "bacterial SSU rRNA". It matches the Rfam family "Bacterial small subunit ribosomal RNA", at positions 917 to 1359 of the family's 1533-position model. Lineage: Bacteria; Pseudomonadati; Bacteroidota. The record is from RNAcentral.